Long non-coding RNA from Megalobrama amblycephala (Wuchang bream), 4917 nucleotides. RefSeq lists it as uncharacterized. The transcript is spliced from 3 exons. Lineage: Eukaryota; Metazoa; Chordata; Actinopteri; Cypriniformes; Xenocyprididae. The record is from RefSeq and is a predicted model, not a curated record.
AACUUGAACAUUUGGGACAACUCCAUCUGGAGAAAGUCUGUUCUUCCACUGGGGGACGCAAUAACGAAUGGCAGUGUUUAACUCAAGGAGAGCUAAGCUUAGCGCAGAAGUUUAGCGGUUUGGAAGUUGUUACAUAUGAAUCAGUUGUGGAAUUCAACCAUUCAACCAUCUGAGGCGCCGAUCCCGUGGAGCACCCGAAAUGGUCGAGCACCCACGGAAAAAUACGAGAUAUUCUCCAUUGAUUUUAACCAACAGAAAAUCAAUCGGAGCUUUCAGACACUAUUUUCACCCUUUUUGGUUUGGUUUAUUUAAGGCCGUUUCUAUGGCAAUAUUUUAAUGGCAAACGUCGAGAGCGCAUCCAAGUGAUGCGCGAGCACAAAUGGCUCUGCUCUCGAUCAGAUACAUCAGCGCGCUCAAGCUCUCCUUGCAUGACAUAUCAGCGAGAGCAUGACUCGCGACAACACUCGUGAAAAGAAUGUGCUUUUGGGUCGAAAUUGUCAUAAAAUCAUAAAAUUUGUUGCUAUUAAUAAUUUAUUUUAAUUAUUCAAUAUAAAAAUAUACAAAGCUCAGAACUGCAGUUAACUAAAUUAUUCCAGGUAAUCAGUUGGUGCUGAGUUAAGCUUGCAGCUGUUUGUUCAAACUCCUUAUAGUUAGCAGUUGGCAUGGUCGGAAAUAAAUGUAGCUUUGACAGCGGAAACUAGAUAGGGUGUCCGGUUCAGAUGUUUAUCACAUGUCUGGAGUCAAUCGAUUGGGGUCACUUUACCCAAGUAUCAUAAUACAGGACCUUGUAUGGAACAUGUGGUUUUUUUUUAUUUUUCUAUAGGAUUAAUCCCCAUAAUUGAACAAGGAUUGACCCCACCCUCCAAAUUUUUUUUGAGCCACUUGCAUCACAGGCAUAUAUAUAACGUGUCCUACAAGAGAUAUGGCCAAGAGAGCAAGUAUAUAUAUAUAUAGUGCAUGUUUCUGUAGACUGUUUGGCUCGGACAAGACUGAGCUGCAGGGCACAACAGGGCAGUCAUCAUGGUUGACAUUUUGGCAACAUUUGCAGGAACGUGCAAAUAGGAUGCCAAGGAAGUUUUGAAACAUUAAGGAAAUGGCUUUGAUUGCGGUAAAGAGCUUGAAGCAUAGCAGAUUUCAUUUCUUCAAUAACAUCCAACCUGUGCAUGGAAUGACAAAAUUAAUUAAUUACUCAAAGCCAAUUAGUAUUGAUUGCAUGAUGGGAAAAAAACAUUAUUUAAAAAAUCAUAUUUUUUGACUACUAACUUUCAGUCAAUGUUGAGCAUUUUCUAACUUUACUUAAUAUAUAUAUUAUAUGACUGCGGAAAGUUUUUCAAGUUUUUAACCCAAAAAAAACUCCUUUUUUCUCCUUUUUUUUUUUUUUUUUAUAGAAACAUACUUUGUAUUGAAUACAAACAUUUCUAUCAUUAUUACACAGUUAGUUUAACACACAGUGACCAUUUGUUAUUAAUGCCUUUAAGUAUAUGUGGAACAUUUUUUAAUGUGUUUUAUUUAUUAAAUGUUUUAGCAAUAAUUUAAGCCAGUAAAUCUCAUGGAAAUACAUUUUGUAAAAGCUAAAAAAAUGGAAAAAGUAACAUACAACUAGAAUUUCGGUAAGAAAAUGUCAGUUGUGCAUGUCCAUGCGAACCUCACUGCCACAAUGCUAGAUUGUUCUGGGUGCUUGCCAUAGUGUUACUAUCCAGUUGCUAAGGUGUUUUCAGUGGUUGUUAGCAUCUUGCUAUGCUGUUGCUAGAGUGUGCUUGGUGAUUGCUAAAUGAUUACUGGCCCAAAUCAAAUGAGACCCCAAAGUAUCUAUGAGAUUCAUUAGAUCUGGCUUGGGCCCCUCAUUGAUUGCAAGUCUAUGGGAUAUAUUUUACUGUUUUAUUUUUGAAAAGUUUGCAAUGAGCCAUUGCUUUGCUUUGGGCUACAAAAAUUGUAGUUAUUGAUUUGUAUAAAAGUACAACAGAAACAAAUGAGAAAAGUGUGUUUAUGUGUGAGUAUAAGAAAUCAAUGUGAUAACAUGUAAUAACAGUAAUAACACUGUUCCAAAUUUUUGGUUAAAUAAUAUAGUUGUGCUUUGCCUUAAGUUCCCUUUACUCCAUGGCUGAUACAAAAAAAAAAAAAAAAAACAAUCACAAAGAGAUGUUUAACGUUAGUGCAUCUUUAUGGACAUUUUUGUCUUUUUAAUUUUUAAAUUUAUUUAUUUUUUAUGAUUUUGCCUGUGUUAAUGCCAAUUGCAUACAUUUUGGCUCAGGUGUGUAUUUUUAUUGAAAUUUUAAUAUUUCACCCCCAUUUCCUUGGUACAUACACUAGGUACACAAAAUAGUUACACCCAGGACCUUAAGGACAAAAAUGUCCCCAUUGAAACACAUUAAAACUGCAAUUUUUAAUUCCAAGGCCAUUUAAUUAUAAAGUGUUGCAAUCUUUGAUAAUAGGCUUUCAUUCUGUAAGGCUUCAAAAUUAAAAUGUUUACUAUUUUUUACCAAAUGGUGUCAUUUAAAGCAAAUACUUGCUUUAUUCCUAUUUUCUGUUUCUGCAUAUUAUAGAGCCCUUUGGAUAAAUUAUGCAGCUAUAAAUGUGUGGAUGUGUUGGUAUGGAUGUGAGAGUGUGGUUUAAAAAAUUGUGUGUGUGUGUGUGUGCAUGUAAUAAUUGAGAGAGAAAAACUCUACUGUACUGCAAAUCCAACCCUUGUGUGUACUAGCAGAGUUUAGCUGGCAUCUAAUUUGGUACUGCGCCCAAACAAAAUCUUUUUUCUUUUUUUUUUCUUUUUUUUUUUUUUUUUUUUACUUCACUUCAACAAUGAUCUGCCAAGGUUCUUCUUUAAAUUUUUAUGACAAAUUUUGGACAUUUUUUCCUCUUUGGACCUAUGUGUAACUUUUUUUUAAUUGACACACAAGGGUUAAAUGUGGCAAAAAGGUGUUUGAAGCCAACAUAGUUAAUCAUUGCUAGACAAAAAGCUUUUAUGCAGCAGGGUUUGUGCUCAAGAAUGUAUCCACCAUUUUCCUGCAACCCAUGACUCUUUACUCAAAUUAUGGGAGUAACUUACGUUAAACUGUAAACAAUCAGCAAAAGGUUUGCUCUGUGAAUGCAAUAAUCAGCAUGUACAAAAACUGGGUACAAUGAGAUGACAUUAUUCACCCUUCAACCAUUAAACAUUAAAAAUAAAUUUUAAAAUAUGUAGUAAAAAAUAUACUGUAUACUGUGUCUGUAUUGUGAAACGUUACCUUAAUCAAAAAUGUUCAUAAACUGGAACAUUGAGCGAUAAUAUUUCAGUGAUUUCCAUCAUUUUGACAGACAAUAUUGUGUUUACCUGCUUUAGAAACGUUCCAGUAAACACAGCUUCAGUCCUUAUGAUUUGAAAUGAUUUGUUUCAGUCUUUUUGAGUGGAACUUCCCCAAACCGGAAGUGUCUCCCAUAAUGGAAAACGCUGUAGGCUCAUUAGGAUUUAGGUGCAUAGCCUUUGUGAUGACUAGCCUCUGCCCAUAGGAAUACACACAUGCCUCCACUAUUAGUCUAUAUGGUCAUUAGUAUGUUUACUCUUAAGAAAAAUUAUUCUAAACAUAACCUGAUUAGGGUCCCUUGGCUUGUAACAAUAGCAGAACCCUUUUUGGUGCCAAAUAGAACUAUUUUUUCAACUCUUUUUUCCAUAAAGAACCAUGCUUUGAACUGUGUUAUAAAAGACCUUAAUUGUGUUAUAAGCAAUAUAUUGUUCUAAGCAAUAAGCCCCAAGAAGCCAUGGUUUACAGUGAAUUUAGAACAGCUAAGGGUCUUUGUUAAAACUCCCAAACCCCUCAGCUAUUCUAAAUUCACUGUAUAUUACAGCUUCACUGGGCUUAUUGCCUUCAUUUAUUUUGUCAAAAUUGUUUUUUUUAUUUUUUUUUAUUAUUAUUUAUUGAUAUUAUGUUUUACCCCUCUAUCUGUCUGGUCUUGUAAGACCUUAUAGUCUCUAUUUUUGUUUUACAUUUAAAAAACUGACCAGAAGUCAUGUCAAUUAGGUCCUUUUUUAUUGACAUUGGAUAUUGUAUCAAAAAUGACAGUACUCUAACAACAGUUAGUAUCUGAAUAGAUUAAUAAUUUGAUUAAAAAAAUUAAUAAUUGAACAUGAAUAAAUUCUUAAAUAAUUGAAAGACAAAAUAGAAACUCAAAACAGAUGUUAUGAAGGCCAAGUGAAAUAUCUUAUCCUCAAUGACAUCUUUACAUCUUUUAUUUUAGUAGUUUCUCCCUGCAGAUGAUGAGUUUGUUGGUAAUCUGGGUAGAAAUACACAAUUCUUUGAGUCUGUGUGUCUCUUCCAUUGUUUAAGUAAAAGCAAUUAUUGUUAUGAUAGCCAGAAGAAGAUAUUGUGAAUGGACAGUAUGUGAACCCUUCAAGCUGAAAGAGAAAAGCCCGAACAGUUGCCUCAAUGUUGAAAGCCCAAAAUUCUCUGGAAUGUUAUGCUGUAGUAUUUAGAUUUGCAUUUUUUCAUUACUUUUUAUUAUUACUUGUAUAUUUAUAACUGAAAUAGACCAAUUAUUUAGAAGAGGAUGUUAUAUGGAUGUAAAAGUAUAUGGAUACUUCUGGCCUAGUGUACAUUUUCCAGGCAUAUUCAAAACAUUUUUGACCAUGUUGUUUUGUGAAUUGUUUUGCUGCUACAACAUUGUAAUUUUUUCCACACACAGAGAUGAAUAAUGGUGAAUCUACUCACUUACACUUCCAAAGAAAGUGUUUCAAAUGAAUAUCAUUAUUUGUUACUUCACCAUUAUAACAGAUGUAGAUAUAUUCAAGCUCUAUUUAUAUACUGUACCUGGCAGACAGACAGAAAGUUCACUGAAGAGGACCCAGUCAGAUCAGAAAGGGGGCCGUGAAAAGAAUGUCUGUUUUAACCUGUUUUAAGAUUCUGUUAUUUUUGUGAACAUUUAAAAUAAUAAACUGAUUGCAAAUUA